This 317-nucleotide ribosomal RNA is filed under the name Salmonella enterica subsp. enterica serovar Newport. Its description in RNAcentral is "partial 23S ribosomal RNA". It matches the Rfam family "Bacterial large subunit ribosomal RNA", at positions 911 to 1226 of the family's 2925-position model. The record is from RNAcentral. Lineage: Bacteria; Pseudomonadati; Pseudomonadota; Gammaproteobacteria; Enterobacterales; Enterobacteriaceae.
UGUUUCGGCUAGGGGGCCAUCCCGGCUUACCAACCCGAUGCAAACUGCGAAUACCGGAGAAUGUUAUCACGGGAGACACACGGCGGGUGCUAACGUCCGUCGUGAAGAGGGAAACAACCCAGACCGCCAGCUAAGGUCCCAAAGUCAUGGUUAAGUGGGAAACGAUGUGGGAAGGCCCAGACAGCCAGGAUGUUGGCUUAGAAGCAGCCAUCAUUUAAAGAAAGCGUAAUAGCUCACUGGUCGAGUCGGCCUGCGCGGAAGAUGUAACGGGGCUAAACCAUGCACCGAAGCUGCGGCAGCGACACUGUGUGUUGUUG